Corythoichthys intestinalis (scribbled pipefish) is the source of this 70-nucleotide small nucleolar RNA. NCBI's taxonomy places the organism in Eukaryota, Metazoa, Chordata, Actinopteri, Syngnathiformes, Syngnathidae. The record is from RefSeq and is a predicted model, not a curated record.
UCUUCAAUGAAGAGAACUUUGUCCAGUUCUGCUACUGAAUGAAAGUGCUGAUAGUUUAGACUCUGAGAAA